UGUGGCAGCCAUAGAGAAGAUGAAACACUUGAUACCACAUUCCGAACUCAUAAGUGAAAAGCUUCAUCGCCGAUGGUACUUUGUCUUAAGGCAUGGGAAAGUAGGUCGUUGCCAUUC
This 117-nucleotide ribosomal RNA is filed under the name Candidatus Aquarickettsia rohweri. The record is from RNAcentral. Lineage: Bacteria; Pseudomonadati; Pseudomonadota; Alphaproteobacteria; Rickettsiales; Candidatus Midichloriaceae.